GCUGUUCCAAAUCCUACACCUGACGUGACGUUGCUGUUUAUGAUAGUGCGGUAUGUCAGCUGUCACUCCGCGCACACUGGACCCUGUCCAUGACUUUCAUGGUCUCAUGCCUGAUGCAACAGAAGAAACCAUAGAUUUCAUUUCUUGUUCACCUCUUCAAGAAGAACUGCUCUGGAGAUGCAGAAACAAGCCCUGGCCAGCAGCAGGCAGGCGAUGCAAAGGAGACGAAGACGAUGGGAUGCUGGUCCUUUUUAACAAACUGCAAAUUCAUUCAAGCUGUCAU
Long non-coding RNA from Engraulis encrasicolus (European anchovy), 283 nucleotides. RefSeq lists it as uncharacterized. The transcript is spliced from 3 exons. The record is from RefSeq and is a predicted model, not a curated record. NCBI's taxonomy places the organism in Eukaryota, Metazoa, Chordata, Actinopteri, Clupeiformes, Engraulidae.